GAUGAAGAACGUAGCGAAAUGCGAUACGUAAUGUGAAUUGCAAAUUCAGUGAAUCAUCGAGUCUUUGAACGCACAUUGCGCCCCCUGGUAUUCCGGGGGGCAUGCCUGUCCGAGCGUCAUUACAACCCUCAAGCUCAGCUUGGUGUUGGGCCCCGCCGCCCCGGCGGGCCCUAAAGUCAGUGGCGGUGCCGUCCGGCUCCGAGCGUAGUAAUUCUUCUCGCUCUGGAGGCCCGGUCGUGUGCUCGCCAGCAACCCCCAAUUUUUUUCAGGUUGACCUCGGAUCAGGUAGGGAUACCCGCUGAACUUAAGCAUAUCAAUAAGCGGAGGA
This 328-nucleotide unclassified non-coding RNA is filed under the name soil metagenome. RNAcentral's name for it is "partial contains 5.8S ribosomal RNA, internal transcribed spacer 2, and large subunit ribosomal RNA". The stretch from base 1 to 119 matches the Rfam family "5.8S ribosomal RNA", at positions 35 to 154 of the family's 154-position model. The record is from RNAcentral.